This 72-nucleotide transfer RNA is filed under the name Tepidisphaera sp. RNAcentral's name for it is "tRNA-Thr". It matches the Rfam family "tRNA". Rfam says of the family: Transfer RNA (tRNA) molecules are approximately 80 nucleotides in length. The record is from RNAcentral. Lineage: Bacteria; Pseudomonadati; Planctomycetota; Phycisphaerae; Tepidisphaerales; Tepidisphaeraceae. RNAcentral also lists the same sequence under 1 other name.
GCCGCUGUAGCUCAGUGGUAGAGCGCACCCUUGGUAAGGGUGAGGCCGUGGGUUCAAUCCCCACUAGCGGCU